GGCAUGAUUGCCCAAUCGCAGAGGUGGGACACUUUCUAUAAAAGCUUCAGCCUCGGGCGCGUGCUUUCUUUUGGGAAUCCAGUGGCGGCCGUGGGCAUUUUGUCUGUGCGGUCGCUGCGAGUCCACGUUAGGGGAGGAUCUGGGCCCCGAAUGGGGCUGAGGGGUCCUCCAGGGCCAUCAUCCGCCGGGGCUCCGCCUCUGUCUUCAGCGUUGUACGCGUUCCUUGCUCCGCCCGCCUCCCCCCCCCCCCCCCCGCAACCGGUCCCGUUCUGUUGGGAAGGUGCGACUCCAGACCGACUUCUCUCCGCAGGGCGGUCGGUGACGUGGUUGGAGACCGUGGACGUAAAUGAACGUCAGCCCGGGGCCUGGUGGUAAGGCGGGAGUCCACGUCCGUAUCUGCGGCGCUUAACAAUAAAGCAGAGGUGGUGAGUUGA
This is a long non-coding RNA of Prionailurus viverrinus (fishing cat), 434 nucleotides long. RefSeq lists it as uncharacterized. NCBI's taxonomy places the organism in Eukaryota, Metazoa, Chordata, Mammalia, Carnivora, Felidae. The transcript has 2 exons. The record is from RefSeq and is a predicted model, not a curated record.